Molecule: long non-coding RNA, 360 nt
Organism: Halichondria panicea
Lineage: Eukaryota; Metazoa; Porifera; Demospongiae; Suberitida; Halichondriidae
Exons: 3
Source: RefSeq, a predicted model, not a curated record
AGCCAUAAAUUGACAACACACAAGUUCCUGGGCCAUGCAUGCCAUAUAAAUUGACUACAACAUUUCCUGGGCUAUUCUCAACGUAAGGUAAGAAAGACUCAGUCUCAACAGAUACUACUCAAGUGGAAAAUAAAGAAUUAAAAAUGGGAGGAUCGCUUGACACACAAAAUAGAUCAAUCACACACGAGGCUACCGAGGAAGUUGCUACCAAGAAAGUAGAUACUGAGGAGGCCACUACUGAAGCCAUGGCUACUCCAAAACAGCCUGCCCCCGGUCAUCAUACAAAAAUGGGCACAGAUUCAGAGCAAACAAAACAACAAGAAAAGGAUCCCACACCGAGGCAUCUUACAAUUCACGUCA